Pygocentrus nattereri (red-bellied piranha) is the source of this 1429-nucleotide long non-coding RNA. NCBI's taxonomy places the organism in Eukaryota, Metazoa, Chordata, Actinopteri, Characiformes, Serrasalmidae. The record is from Ensembl.
CCUGAAGUCUCACUCCACACUCCAGCUCAGUAGAUGGCAAUAACGUGUUGGUCUGCCAAGCACCGUUCACAUAGAUGAAGAGGUAGCCGGUGUUUGAGAGCUGUCUGCUCCUCCGUGUGUCUCUGUUCGGAAACCUUUUAGUUUUAUAUCCAUUGUAAUCUCUGUUCUCAGGAGUGAGAGACAAGGGGACAAGAGGAGUGUACAAGACUACACAAGCACAGAGGCUGUACUGUUAUCUAUGGACCAGUAAUAAGCACCACUGUCCAGCUGUCUUAAUACUGCAGCAGUUUAUCUGAUUGUGUGUUUGUCUCUGCAUUAUAUACAGUUGUACCUGUAGUGAUAAUAGCCACUGCUUAUGCUAUUUAAAAGCAUAUGCUGGUUGUGUUACAUUGGAUAUUGGUGCAGAAUAUGAUCAGGGAUUAAACCGUGUGGUAAUGCUGUGAAUGAUUCAGCCCCUUAAUGUUGAUUAGCAGUGCUGAGCUCAUGUGCUCUAAACUGUGGGCUAUGUCAGACUGUACUAGAGCUUUUUAGCACAGAUUUCAAGCAGGCCUCCCUCCCUGUUUUCCUCUACUGCGUAUGCCUUGAGCUGGGUUGUGAGUGGCCUUUUUAGGAACUGGUGCCCGAUUGACCUGUAAUUGCAAUGUCCCAUGAUAGUUAUCCUUAGCCACUUCAUAAGGCCCUUUUAUUGAAGAGAUUUCAUCUUUUACUGGUUAUUGUAUUGCCCUGUUUGUAAACCGAGCUUCAGAAAAUAUAGGUAAAAAUAAGUUGUUUAAAUUGUUCCUUUAUUAUUGAACUGGUUUUAGAGACCAGCAGGUUUGACUGCUUAAGUUGAGUAAAUAAGCCGUCCUACAGUAUCAGCCUCAGUCUGUUUUGGUGUACCUAUUCAGUAAAAUUCCAUUUCUCUUUGCCGCAGAGAUUUUGAGUUUUAAUUAGAGGUGCGACAGAUCUGGUCCCGUAUCAGUAUUUGGACCAAUAAAUCACUCAUCGGAUAUUGGACAGUUACCAAUCCAUAUUCCAGUCCGUGUCUUGUGCUGGACCAUGGACCUGCCAUAACAUAACAAAAAGUAACAUGAAAUGUCACGAAUCCAGAUUUCAUUCCACGUCUUAUCAUGAACGCAUGGCAACUUAAGUCUGUAACUGAGUGAGCAAAUAACAUUAACUGUCAGUGACUGAAAUGUCCUUUGGAGAUAUUUUUGCCAGGAAACGGCAAAAAGCAGGGCCACUGCUUGUGAAAGAGUACUAAGACUUCAUUAAGACCUUAAACACAAUACCAACGAUAAUAAUGAUAAUAUUAAGAGCUCUUAUAUUGGAACCAGUAUCAGCAGUUGUGUAUUGGAAUCAGAACUGAAAAAUGUGGGUCAGCCAAUCACUACUUUAGGUUAGAUAGUUUUUCUCCUACUUCAUGCCACUGAAUUUCGGGUUGGAGAUC